GACGAACGCUGGCGGCGUGCUUAACACAUGCAAGUCGAACGGAAAGGCCCUGCUUUUGUGGGGUGCUCGAGUGGCGAACGGGUGAGUAACACGUGAGUAACCUGCCCUUGACUUUGGGAUAACUUCAGGAAACUGGGGCUAAUACCGGAUAGGAGCUCCUGCUGCAUGGUGGGGGUUGGAAAGUUUCGGCGGUUGGGGAUGGACUCGCGGCUUAUCAGCUUGUUGGUGGGGUAGUGGCUUACCAAGGCUUUGACGGGUAGCCGGCCUGAGAGGGUGACCGGCCACAUUGGGACUGAAAGACGGCCCAGACUCCUACGGAGGGCAGCAGUGGGGAAUAGUACACAAUGGGCGGAAGCCUGAUGCAGCAACGCCGAGUGCGGGAUGACGGCCUUCGGGUUGUAAUCCGCUUUCGCCUGUGACGAAGCGUGAGUGACGGUAAUGGGUAAAGAAGCACCGGCUAACUACGUG
This 468-nucleotide ribosomal RNA is filed under the name uncultured bacterium. Its description in RNAcentral is "partial 16S ribosomal RNA". It matches the Rfam family "Bacterial small subunit ribosomal RNA", at positions 28 to 507 of the family's 1533-position model. The record is from RNAcentral.